Molecule: ribosomal RNA, 364 nt
Filed under: uncultured bacterium
Lineage: Bacteria
Description: partial 16S ribosomal RNA
Rfam family: Bacterial small subunit ribosomal RNA
Source: RNAcentral
CCUACGGGGUGCAGCAGUGAGGAAUAUUGGUCAAUGGCCGGAAGGCUGACCCAGCCAUGCCGCGUGAAGGUCAGUGCCCUAUGGGCGGUAAACUUCUUUUGUGCGGGAGCAAUAAUGGUCACGUGUGGCCAGACGAGAGUACCGUACGCAUAAGCAUCGGCUAACUCCGUGCCAGCAGCCGCGGGAAUACGGGGGAUGCAAGCGUUAGUCGGAGUUAUUUGGUUGAAAGGGUGCGUAGGCUGUGAGGUAAGCCAACGGUGGAAUACCCCCGCUGAACGGGGUGAAGUGCCAUUGAUACUGCCUUGCUGGAAUGCGGAUGACGUGGGAGGAAUGUGUGGUGUAGCGGUGAAAUGCAUAGAUAUCA